UUUGGCGUUUAUUUGCAUGUCUGAUCCCUGUUUCGGCAGCGAAGGCAUGUCAUAAACACCUUUUCAAUUGUUGGCUCAAUUGCGACUUUGGCUUGGUCCUUCUCGGUUUCUUGUGCUGCAUACCUCUACGAAGGUAAUUGGUCGGCCUAAGCGUUCCACAAAUCUUACAUGCACCAAACCUUUUGUGUUUGUUGUGUGUUAGACCACGAAGCAUGCAUAGUGUUCUGCUUUUCCAGUGCCGUUCCGGUGCUUUGGGUUGUAGGCACAUUAUGUUUUGCUUGAUCUCUCGGAUACGGAAAAUUUAGUGGGUAUGAGGCAUGCGCUUGCAUGUUUUUAUUUGCCCCGAACGAUGUUCCUAGCGUACGACUGUUGUUACGUUUUGAUUGGGUCCUUUGCGGCUUGAGUCAUGCGUGAACAACGUCGUUGAGGAA
Molecule: unclassified non-coding RNA, 431 nt
Filed under: Peplidium maritimum
Lineage: Eukaryota; Viridiplantae; Streptophyta; Magnoliopsida; Lamiales; Phrymaceae
Description: partial external transcribed spacer
Source: RNAcentral